RNAcentral lists this ribosomal RNA (484 nucleotides) under uncultured bacterium. RNAcentral's name for it is "partial 16S ribosomal RNA". It matches the Rfam family "Bacterial small subunit ribosomal RNA", at positions 30 to 507 of the family's 1533-position model. The record is from RNAcentral.
AUUGAACGCUGGCGGCAGGCCUAACACAUGCAAGUCGAGCGGAUGAAGGGAGCUUGCUCCUGGAUUCAGCGGCGGACGGGUGAGUAAUGCCUAGGAAUCUGCCUGGUAGUGGGGGAUAACGUCCGGAAACGGGCGCUAAUACCGCAUACGUCCUGAGGGAGAAAGUGGGGGAUCUUCGGACCUCACGCUAUCAGAUGAGCCUAGGUCGGAUUAGCUAGUUGGUGGGGUAAAGGCCUACCAAGGCGACGAUCCGUAACUGGUCUGAGAGGAUGAUCAGUCACACUGGAACUGAGACACGGUCCAGACUCCUACGGGAGGCAGCAGUGAGGAAUAUUGGACAAUGGGCGAAAGCCUGAUCCAGCCAUGCCGCGUGUGUGAAGAAGGUCUUCGGAUUGUAAAGCACUUUAAGUUGGGAGGAAGGGCGGUAAGUUAAUACCUUGCUGUUUUGACGUUACCAACAGAAUAAGCACCGGCUAACUUCGUG